Molecule: small nucleolar RNA, 215 nt
Filed under: Myotis brandtii (Brandt's bat)
Lineage: Eukaryota; Metazoa; Chordata; Mammalia; Chiroptera; Vespertilionidae
Description: Small nucleolar RNA SNORA51
Rfam family: Small nucleolar RNA SNORA51
About the family: ACA51 is a member of the H/ACA class of snoRNA that guide the sites of modification of uridines to pseudouridines.
Source: Rfam by way of RNAcentral
GGUUUCCUGGUGCUUACCACAGGCUGUGUUCGUACACUGACUGUACAGAAUUAGGAGGCAGAGAUCUUCUGGUGGGGCAAGGUGUGCUUUUUAAAACAUGUUCCCUUCAAUGUUUUAAUACAAAGAGGUAUGACUGGUGGUUAUCAUUCUUAUUUUAAAGGCACGGAAACAGAGCUGCAGAGGGGCUGGUCUGUAUUGUGAAUGGGGAGACAUUG